Molecule: ribosomal RNA, 468 nt
Filed under: uncultured bacterium
Lineage: Bacteria
Description: partial 16S ribosomal RNA
Rfam family: Bacterial small subunit ribosomal RNA
Source: RNAcentral
GAUGAACGCUGGCGGCGUGCCCAACACAUGCAAGUCGAGCGAUCUUCUUCGGAAGAGAGCGGCGGACGGGUGAGUAACGCGUGGGUAACCUGCCCUGUACACACGGAUAACAUACCGAAAGGUAUGCUAAUACGAGAUAAUAUGCUUUUGUCGCAUGGUAGAAGUAUCAAAGCUCCGGCGGUACAGGAUGGACCCGCGUCUGAUUAGCGAGUUGGUAAGGUAACGGCUUACCAAGCCGACGAUCAGUAGCCGACCUGAGAGGGUGAGCGGCCACAUUGGAACUGAGACACGGUCCAAACUCCUACGGGAGGCAGCAGUGGGGAAUAUUGCACAAUGGGCGAAAGCCUGAUGCAGCAACGCCGCGUGAGCGAUGAAGGCCUUCGGGUCGUAAAGCUCUGUCCUCAAGGAAGAUAAUGACGGUACUUGAGGAGGAAGCCCCGGCUAACUACGUGCCAGCCGCCGCCGUAA